RNAcentral lists this ribosomal RNA (508 nucleotides) under Yanomamia guianensis. Its description in RNAcentral is "partial 16S ribosomal RNA". It matches the Rfam family "Bacterial large subunit ribosomal RNA", at positions 1816 to 2597 of the family's 2925-position model. The record is from RNAcentral. Lineage: Eukaryota; Metazoa; Chordata; Lepidosauria; Squamata; Gymnophthalmidae.
AGCCUUUAGCCCCCCCCCCACUAUUAAAGGUGAUGCCUGCCCAGUGACAUAUUAAACGGCCGCGGGAUCCUCCACCGUGCAAAGGUAGCAUAAUCACUUGUCCCCUAAAUAGAGACUCGUAUGAACGGCCCCAUGAAGAUUUUACUGUCUCUUGUAGUUUAUCCAUGAAACUGAUCUUUCAGUACAAAAGCUGAAAUAUACUCAUAAGACGAAAAGACCCUGUGGAACUUACAAACGACGGCCACCACAUGGCCCCGCCCGUUUUUAGUUGGGGCAACUAUGGAACAAAACAAAACUUCCACACACUAUGAUAGGCGGACACACCACUAUCCACCCCUUACUGACCCAGUACACUACUGAAUAAAGAACCAAGCUACCCCAGGGAUAACAGCGCCAUCCCCUCUUAGAGCCCCCAUCGAUGAGGGGGUUUACGACCUCGAUGUUGGAUCAGGGCCCCCAAACAGUGCAGCAGCUGUCAACGGUUUGUUUGUUCAACAAUUAAUGCCCU